This is a small nuclear RNA of Octodon degus (degu), 191 nucleotides long. RefSeq annotates it as U2 spliceosomal RNA. The record is from RefSeq and is a predicted model, not a curated record. The transcript has a single exon. NCBI's taxonomy places the organism in Eukaryota, Metazoa, Chordata, Mammalia, Rodentia, Octodontidae.
AUUACUUCUCAGUCUUUUGGCUAAGAUCAAGUGUAAUAUCUAUUCUUAUCAGAAUGAGAUCUGAUAUGUCUGAUGAAGAAAGGGACAGUAAGUUAAGCCAGGAAGGUCUAAAGUGGCCUACAAAGUAGUACUUUCAAGCCUUUGGGUGAGAAACACUGCAUAAACAGAAUUGCUGAAAAUACUCAUAAGAG